Molecule: ribosomal RNA, 245 nt
Filed under: uncultured Lactobacillus sp.
Lineage: Bacteria; Bacillati; Bacillota; Bacilli; Lactobacillales; Lactobacillaceae
Description: partial 16S ribosomal RNA
Rfam family: Bacterial small subunit ribosomal RNA
Source: RNAcentral
UGGGGAACCUGCCCCAUAGUCUGGGAUACCACUUGGAAACAGGUGCUAAUACCGGAUAAGAAAGCGGAUCGCAUGAUCAGCUUUUAAAAGGCGGCGCAAGCUGUCGCUAUGGGAUGGCCCCGCGGUGCAUUAGCUAGUUGGUAAGGUAAAGGCUUACCAAGGCGAUGAUGCAUAGCCGAGUUGAGAGACUGAUCGGCCACAUUGGGACUGAGACACGGCCCAAACUCCUACGGGAGGCAGCAGGG